GAUGAACGCUGGCGGCGUGCUUAACACAUGCAAGUCGAACGGUGAAGCAGGAGCUUGCUCUUGUGGAUCAGUGGCGAACGGGUGAGUAACACGUGAGCAACCUGCCCCUGACUCUGGGAUAAGCGCUGGAAACGGCGUCUAAUACUGGAUAUGUGAUGUGACCGCAUGGUCUGCAUCUGGAAAGAAUUUCGGUUGGGGAUGGGCGCGCGGCCUAUCAGCAUGUUGGUGAGGUAAUGGCUACCCAAGGCGUCGACGGGUAGCCGGCCUGAGAGGGUGACCGGCCACACUGGGACUGAGACACGGCCCAGACUCCUACGGGAGGCAGCAGUGGGGAAUAUUGCACAAUGGGCGGAAGCCUGAUGCAGCAACGCCGCGUGAGGGAUGACGGCCUUCGGGUUGUAAACCUCUUUUAGCAGGGAAGAAGCGAAAGUGACGGUACCUGCAAAAAAAGCACCGGCUAACUACGUGCCAGCCGCCGCAGUAA
RNAcentral lists this ribosomal RNA (484 nucleotides) under uncultured bacterium. RNAcentral's name for it is "partial 16S ribosomal RNA". It matches the Rfam family "Bacterial small subunit ribosomal RNA", at positions 28 to 523 of the family's 1533-position model. The record is from RNAcentral.